RNAcentral lists this ribosomal RNA (698 nucleotides) under Pseudomonas sp. 100-p8_B1. RNAcentral describes it as "bacterial SSU rRNA". It matches the Rfam family "Bacterial small subunit ribosomal RNA", at positions 79 to 773 of the family's 1533-position model. The record is from RNAcentral. Lineage: Bacteria; Pseudomonadati; Pseudomonadota; Gammaproteobacteria; Pseudomonadales; Pseudomonadaceae. RNAcentral also lists the same sequence under 2 other names.
CUUGCUUCUCUUGAGAGCGGCGGACGGGUGAGUAAUGCCUAGGAAUCUGCCUGGUAGUGGGGGAUAACGUUCGGAAACGGACGCUAAUACCGCAUACGUCCUACGGGAGAAAGCAGGGGACCUUCGGGCCUUGCGCUAUCAGAUGAGCCUAGGUCGGAUUAGCUAGUUGGUGAGGUAAUGGCUCACCAAGGCGACGAUCCGUAACUGGUCUGAGAGGAUGAUCAGUCACACUGGAACUGAGACACGGUCCAGACUCCUACGGGAGGCAGCAGUGGGGAAUAUUGGACAAUGGGCGAAAGCCUGAUCCAGCCAUGCCGCGUGUGUGAAGAAGGUCUUCGGAUUGUAAAGCACUUUAAGUUGGGAGGAAGGGCAGUUACCUAAUACGUGAUUGUUUUGACGUUACCGACAGAAUAAGCACCGGCUAACUCUGUGCCAGCAGCCGCGGUAAUACAGAGGGUGCAAGCGUUAAUCGGAAUUACUGGGCGUAAAGCGCGCGUAGGUGGUUAGUUAAGUUGGAUGUGAAAUCCCCGGGCUCAACCUGGGAACUGCAUUCAAAACUGACUGACUAGAGUAUGGUAGAGGGUGGUGGAAUUUCCUGUGUAGCGGUGAAAUGCGUAGAUAUAGGAAGGAACACCAGUGGCGAAGGCGACCACCUGGACUGAUACUGACACUGAGGUGCGAAAGCGUGGGGAGCAAAC